UUCUUCUGUAUCCGGAUGGCACUGAGGUCAUUACUGUCCCUGGAACACAAAGACCAUUUACACUUGAGGCUUAUAAGGCUGAAGUUGGCAAGCCUUAUCAAAGAAUCACUGUUUUCAUCUGCUUGAAGAGUGACUUUGAAGAUGUUGGAGAAAACUCAGACUUGUCUGACUCUGACCCAGAGAUUGUUAUUAAAAGGCCCUCUGAGUUUGAUCUUGCUGAUACACUGCCAUGGGAACUUCAACAUGAAAGCAGUCCUUUACAGAAAG
This is a long non-coding RNA of Pelmatolapia mariae (spotted tilapia), 267 nucleotides long. RefSeq lists it as uncharacterized. The record is from RefSeq and is a predicted model, not a curated record. The transcript is spliced from 3 exons. NCBI's taxonomy places the organism in Eukaryota, Metazoa, Chordata, Actinopteri, Cichliformes, Cichlidae.